AUUGAACGCUGGCGGAAUGCUUUACACAUGCAAGUCGAACGGCAGCACGGGAGCUUGCUCCUGGUGGCGAGUGGCGAACGGGUGAGUAACAUAUCGGAACGUACCCAGUCGUGGGGGAUAACUAUCCGAAAGGAUAGCUAAUACCGCAUACGUCCUGAGGGAGAAAGCGGGGGAUCGCAAGACCUCGCGCGAUUGGAGCGGCCGAUAUCGGAUUAGCUAGUUGGUGGGGUAAAGGCUCACCAAGGCGACGAUCCGUAGCGGGUCUGAGAGGACGACCCGCCACACUGGAACUGAGACACGGUCCAGACUCCUACGGGAGGCAGCAGUGGGGGAAUUUUGGACAAUGGGGGCAACCCGUGAUCCAGCCAUUCCGCGUGAGUGAAGAAGGCC
This 390-nucleotide ribosomal RNA is filed under the name uncultured bacterium. Its description in RNAcentral is "bacterial SSU rRNA". It matches the Rfam family "Bacterial small subunit ribosomal RNA", at positions 29 to 416 of the family's 1533-position model. The record is from RNAcentral.